CAGGAGACUCAAUUUACUAUUUCAGAGCAUCUGUUGGAAGAUAUAACAGAUACAGCUAAAAUACAAACUCCCAUUACACCACUUGUGACAGGAAAACCAAAAGAGACUAAUAAGGAGAACAGCACAAAGGCUGAUGUUCGUUCAGAGAAGCCAUUUCUUUUGGAGACUAAAGUGGAUGCAGCCACACUUCCUGGUGGUGCUGACAAAACUGAAGCUGUAAGUUCCACUGAUGAAAGCCAGGUGGCUGGAUUUACUAUUUUAGAACAUCAAAUGAUGACAGAUCCCAGUCCAGCACUGGUGACCAAUAAGUCUAAAAAGAGGGGAAAUGAUGGAAAAAACAGAGAGGCUAAAAAUGCCUCUGAGCAGCCAGUUCUUCUGGAGACUAAGAUCGACAAAAGCAAAAUACAACCUCCCAUAGUAACUGAUCUGGAGUACCAAAUGGAAGAAAUGGGUCUUGUAGAUGAAAACCAAAAUAUUAAAAAUUUCCCCUCUGAGCAUCAAAUGCUUUGGGAUAAUAAGGGUCACUUGUUCACACCCUUCACUCAGUCUGGAGCAGUUGGUGUUGACAGAGUUGACAAAGCUUGUUCUAUAGACAAAAAUCAAGGGCUUGCCAGUAUCUUUCCAGAGUAUCCAGUAAAGGAUGAAGGAUGGAAGGUGCCUGUGCCUCCUGCAGUGGUUUGGGAGGGCACCAACAAAGAAUCAAGCACAGGUGACAAAAGGGAGAAAAAUAAACACAGCCAUUAUGAGCAUUCAGUCACACUGGAAGGUGAAGAUGCUGGCGUACAGGCUUUCGCUUCAGUGAAGGAGGGUGAUGAAAUCAAAGUGACUAGUGCUGGGGAUAAGAAGAAGAAAGGUAAACGGCCUUCCUUGGAUUCUCCAGUUAAACAGGAUGCCAAGGCAGGAAGGGAUGAAGUGCAUACUUCCAUUUUAGCAGAGAUUGAUGACAAAGGAAUAAGUUUCACUGGUGAAAAGCAAAGCACUGAAUGUGCUUCCUUGGAGCAUCUGGUGAAGGAGACAGAUGCCAUGAAGGGAACAAUUCCCACAGAUGCCAAAGUGACGGACAAAAUGGAAGGAAGUAGCUCUGCGGGUGAGAAGGAUGUUGGAUGCAUUUCUCCGGAACUUACAGUGCAAUGGGAGAAUAAAGCAGAAGCAGUUGUUCUGCAGGUUCUAGGUACAACGGAGGUGGUGAACGAGGCUAAAGAGGCUGAGCUGGGUGAACAAAGCUUCUCUGAGUGCCCAGUUAGUUUAGAAAAAAAGACAGAUGCAGCUGAGGUUGCUAGUGUGACUCUGAGAGAUGCCCAA
Molecule: long non-coding RNA, 1302 nt
Filed under: Chelonoidis abingdonii (Abingdon island giant tortoise)
Lineage: Eukaryota; Metazoa; Chordata; Testudines; Testudinidae
Description: lncRNA (ENSCABG00000004091.1)
Source: RNAcentral